GGGGCCAUAGCUCAGCCGGGAGAGCGCUACAAUGGCAUUGUAGAGGUCGGCGGUUCGAUCCCGCCUGGCUCC
This 72-nucleotide transfer RNA is filed under the name Gammaproteobacteria bacterium. Its description in RNAcentral is "tRNA-Ala". It matches the Rfam family "tRNA". From Rfam's summary of the family: Transfer RNA (tRNA) molecules are approximately 80 nucleotides in length. Their secondary structure includes four short double-helical elements and three loops (D, anti-codon, and T loops). Further hydrogen bonds mediate the characteristic L-shaped molecular structure. tRNAs have two regions of fundamental functional importance: the anti-codon, which is responsible for specific mRNA codon recognition, and the 3' end, to which the tRNAs corresponding amino acid is attached (by aminoacyl-tRNA synthetases). tRNAs cope with the degeneracy of the genetic code in two manners: having more than one tRNA (with a specific anti-codon) for a particular amino acid; and 'wobble' base-pairing, i.e. permitting non-standard base-pairing at the 3rd anti-codon position. Lineage: Bacteria; Pseudomonadati; Pseudomonadota; Gammaproteobacteria. The record is from RNAcentral.